AACGAACGCUGGCGGCAGGCCUAACACAUGCAAGUCGAACGCCGUAGCAAUACGGAGUGGCAGACGGGUGAGUAACACGUGGGAACGUACCCUUCGGUUCGGAAUAACUCAGGGAAACUUGAGCUAAUACCGGAUACGUCCGAGAGGAGAAAGAUUUAUCGCCGAGGGAUCGGCCCGCGUCUGAUUAGCUUGUUGGUGAGGUAACGGCUCACCAAGGCGACGAUCAGUAGCUGGUCNGAGAGGAUGAUCAGCCACAUUGGGACUGAGACACGGCCCAAACUCCUACGGGAGGCAGCAGUGGGGAAUAUUGGGCAAUGGGUGCAAGCCUGAUCCAGCCAUGCCGCGUGAGUGAUGAAGGCCCUAGGGUUGUAAAGCUCUUUUGUGCGGGAAGAUAAUGACGGUACCGCAAGAAUAAGCCCCGGCUAACUUCGUGCCAGCAGCCGCGGUAAC
This 450-nucleotide ribosomal RNA is filed under the name uncultured bacterium. Its description in RNAcentral is "bacterial SSU rRNA". It matches the Rfam family "Bacterial small subunit ribosomal RNA", at positions 29 to 524 of the family's 1533-position model. The record is from RNAcentral.